UCAUCGAUCUUCACUUGCAACGCUGAGUCGCCGACUCCUCCUCACCUCACUGUAGCUCUCUAGUCUCUCUCUCCAGUCUCCACACAAUCGUCGGUCGUCGCUCUCCACGCAAUCUUCGGCUGUCGCUCUCCAGUCCAUCGGCUCUCAACGCUGUCAGCAACUUGGUUGUCCUCAAUACUUUGUCUUCUUCAGUCCUCAGUCUUUCUCAGUUCUCAAUUCUCGCCUCCUCGAUCCUCAUCAGCAACUGUAAAAGGUAAGUAAAUUUUUUUUACACUAUUGAGAAAAGUGUUGGUUGUGUAACUUUCUUGUUUCUUGUUUGAGGUAUCUUGUUAAAUGUCGCUCUCCAGUGCCCAUGGAAAGUAAAUGAAUUGUGAACUUGGCUCAUUCACUGAUCAAUUAUCAAUAGCUUUCUUAUUUAUUUUUUACAGUACUUGGUUGGUUUGGAACUUACUUUUUAUGCUAACUGUGUUAUAUUCUAAAGUGGGUUAUGUUUCUUGUAAAAGGAAAUACUAAUGGAGGCAAGAGCGGAAUUGAAGCAUUAUGUUUUAGCUUUUUCUCUAACCUGGUGUUGCUACACUGUUUGUUAAAGAGUUUAGACUUCUGAAUCUUAGGAAGAAAUUUAUAGUAGUUUAUUUGGUUAUUU
RNAcentral lists this long non-coding RNA (643 nucleotides) under Manihot esculenta (cassava). RNAcentral describes it as "long non-coding RNA (MESC_LNC005550)". Lineage: Eukaryota; Viridiplantae; Streptophyta; Magnoliopsida; Malpighiales; Euphorbiaceae. The record is from RNAcentral.